UAAGCAUAUCAAUAAGCGGAGGAAAAGAAACCAACAGGGAUUGCCCUAGUAACGGCGAGUGAAGCGGCAACAGCUCAAAUUUGAAAUCUGGCUCUUUCAGAGUCCGAGUUGUAAUUUGCAGAGGGCGCUUUGGCUUUGGCAGCGGUCCAAGUUCCUUGGAACAGGACGUCACAGAGGGUGAGAAUCCCGUACGUGGUCGCUAGCUAUUGCCGUGUAAAGCCCCUUCGACGAGUCGAGUUGUUUGGGAAUGCAGCUCUAAAUGGGAGGUAAAUUUCUUCUAAAGCUAAAUAUUGGCCAGAGACCGAUAGCGCACAAGUAGAGUGAUCGAAAGAUGAAAAGCACUUUGGAAAGAGAGUCAAACAGCACGUGAAAUUGUUGAAAGGGAAGCGCUUGCAGCCAGACUUGCUUGCAGUUGCUCAUCCGGGCUUUUGCCCGGUGCACUCUUCUGCAGGCAGGCCAGCAUCAGUUUGGGCGGUGGGAUAAAGGUCUCUGUCAUGUACCUCUCUUCGGGGAGGCCUUAUAGGGGAGGCGACAUACCACCAGCCUAGACUGAGGUCCGCGCAUCUGCUAGGAUGCUGGCGUAAUGGCUGUAAGCGGCCCGUCUUGAAACACGGACCAAGGAGUCUAACAUCUAUGCGAGUGUUUGGGUGUCAAGCCCGAGCGCGUAAUGAAAGUGAACGGAGGUGGGAACCCGCAAGGGUGCACCAUCGACCGAUCCUGAAGUUUACGGAAGGAUUUGAGUAAGAGCAUGGCUGUUGGGACCCGAAAGAUGGUGAACUAUGCUUGAAUAGGGUGAAGCCAGAGGAAACUCUGGUGGAGGCUCGCAGCGGUUCUGACGUGCAAAUCGAUCGUCAAAUUUGGGCAUAGGGGCGAAAGACUAAUCGA
Molecule: ribosomal RNA, 885 nt
Filed under: Exserohilum longirostratum
Lineage: Eukaryota; Fungi; Ascomycota; Dothideomycetes; Pleosporales; Pleosporaceae
Description: LSU rRNA
Rfam family: Eukaryotic large subunit ribosomal RNA
Source: RNAcentral